Long non-coding RNA from Eriocheir sinensis (Chinese mitten crab), 1234 nucleotides. RefSeq lists it as uncharacterized. Lineage: Eukaryota; Metazoa; Arthropoda; Malacostraca; Decapoda; Varunidae. The record is from RefSeq and is a predicted model, not a curated record. The transcript has 3 exons.
UACUACUACUACGCCGCGUAAACACCUGGAUAAACCACCGAACUCAGGUAGAAAUGAGUCACCUGCCAUUUGUUUUAAACCACUCAAUAAAAAAAAAAGAAUCACAGAAAAAAACUUUGGUAUCACAACCUCUAAAAGUCGCUGGAGGAGGACUGUGAAAAAACUGGCUAGGAGGAAAGGACAAGGAGGAAGACGCCUAUAAAAGGGAGAGUCAGACUACCUGAUCCACUUAGUCUUCUACCUGCAGUUGAAAAGCCCCUCAAAAUGGCCCGCCCAUUGCUCCUAGCCUGCCUCCUGCUGGUGGCGGUGAUGGCUACCAUGUCUGCAGCACAGGGAUACAACGCUCAGUACUACCCGAACAUCGCUUCCGGCUGGGGGGGCGUCUUCCACAACUCCUACCCCACUGGAAACUUCGGAGGCUGCCGCUACUGGUGCCGCAGCUCAUACACCAGACAGUACUACUGCUGCACCACACCGCAGCAAUCCUUCAACCAACAUGGCGGCUUCAACCAGGGCGGCUUCAACCAGGGCGGCUUUAACCAUGGGGGUUUCAACCAUGGCGGCUUCAACCAAGGUUACUUCUAGGCUCGUAUUCUCAGACGCUUUCGGCUCUCACAACCACGAUUUCUCAAGGCCACAAAGAAGAUUAGUCGUGUUCUCAUGAGUGUUUUUCUCGUUCACGGUGCAGGAGCCUUGUUAAACGAUCACAAUGAGCUCAUGAAACUACUGCCAUGGAAAUACCCGCAACCUCAAUGAAAGCCUUGUCAAAUGUGGGUGUGUAAGCCCCGAAAGUCUGGGCGUGUUUCCUUUGGUACCCUGUCGGACCGUGGUUUCCCUAACACCUGUUGCAUCCAGUUGUUGCUUUUGAGGCGGGACUCUUGAUGCCUCCAUUGAAUUGUUACUUUUAUUACAUGGAGGUUAUGUGACCACCAUUGUUCUCCUUUACUUUUUUUUUAAAUAGACGCUGCUAAGUUAUCCUUCAAAGUCAGUUUAGUUGCACGGUGAAUGUCUCUGUAGCACUCAGGUAGGGUUUUGAGUUCGAAGUUUUGUUUAUUCAUUCAUUAUUUUGUAAGACGUUAGCAUCUAUUAAUUAUAUCACUCUGCCCAUCACAUCACUUUGUUGUGCUAAAGUAAUUAUCUUUUUUAAUAAAUAUGACUGCAUCUGCUUUAUUAUUUUUCAUUUGAUAUGAAGAGAGGGAUUGACAAAGGCACAAGUAUACACCAUUAAUAACUA